This 1299-nucleotide ribosomal RNA is filed under the name uncultured bacterium. RNAcentral describes it as "bacterial SSU rRNA". It matches the Rfam family "Bacterial small subunit ribosomal RNA", at positions 28 to 1319 of the family's 1533-position model. The record is from RNAcentral.
AGCUGACGCUGGCUUCGUGCCUAACCAUGCAAGUCGCAAGGUCCCGAUCGCCCUUAUUGGCGUAUCGGGAUAGUGGCGGACGGGUGAGUAACGCGUGAGCAACCUGCCUGCGAGUGGGGAACAACCCCGGGAAACUGGGGCUAAUACCGCAACACACCCUAUGACUUUGGUCCUUGGGUUGAAAGCCCGCACGGGCGCUCGUACAGGGGCUCGCGUCCGAUCAGCUAGUUGGUGAGGUAACGGCUCACCAAGGCGGAGACCGGUAGCCGGCCUGAUAGGGUGUUCGGCCACACUGGGACUGAGACACGGCCCACACUCCUACGGGAGGCAUUAGUGAGGAAUAUUGCGCAAUGGGGGAAACCCUGACGCAGCGACGCCGCGUGGAGGAUGAAGCCCUUCGGGGUGUAAACUCCUUUCGACCCGGACGAAAGCCCGCAAGGGCCUGACGGUACGGGUAUAAGAAGCCCCGGCUAGCUACGUGCCAGCAGCCGCGGUAAUACGUUGGGGCAAGCGUUGCUCGGAAUCACUGCGCGUAGAGCGGUCCGUAGGCUGCUCGGUGUGUCCGUCGUGAAAACUCCUGGCCUAACCGGGAGACGUCGACAUGAACUGUCGGGCUCGAUGACCGGGAGAUGUGCGUGUAAUUGCGGGCUGUAGCUGUCGAAAUGCGUAGAGAUCCGCAGGAUCUACCGGCGGCGAAGGCGUCGCACUGGACCUCUCUUGCAUGUUGAUGGCCUGAAAUUUGGGGGAGCAAACAGGAUUAGAUAUACUGGUAGUCCCAGCCCUAAACUAUGGUCUCUGGGUGUGCCCGGCGUUCGUCGGGCGUACUGACUCUAAGACAAUAAGUGAGCCGCCUGGGGAGUCCGGUCGCAAGUCUGAAACUCAAAGGAAUUUCCGGGGGCCAGCACAAGCGGUGGAGCAUGUGGUUCAAUUCGACGAUACGCGAAGAACCUUACCUGGGCUUGAAGUGUGCCCGCCCAGCCCGAGAAAUCGGGCCUUCCCGCAAGGGACGUGUGUAGAGGUGCUGCAUGGCUGUCGUCAGCUCGUGUCGUGAGCUGUUGGCUUAAGUCCCGCAACGAGCGCCACCCCUGUCCUUAGUUGUCAACGGUUCGGCUGAGCACUCUAGGGAGACCGCCCCGGAUAACGGGGAGGAAGGUGGGGAGGAGGUCAAGUCAGCAUGGCCUUUAUGUCCAGGGGGGAACACGUGCUACAAUGCGCGAUACAAAGGGUUGCCAACCCGCAAGGGGGAGCCAAUCACAAAAAAGCGCGCUCAGUUCGGAUUGUCGUCUGCAACUCGACGGC